GAACAAGUCAGAUGUUAGACUGGCGUUGGUCUAUGCGUCUUCUUUUCUAGACAAAUAACCUUUCUCUCGAACAGGUUAGAUGUUAGAAUGGCGUGUUCUUGUGUUUGAACCGCAAAGAAUGUAGAUUUAAGAUGAAGAGAAUAAUGAUAUAAGCAAUAUACUUGUCUUGAACUCACAAACUCAUAGCUAUAGAUAGUAACUCAUUCGGCUUCCAUAACCCCAACUAAGAGAUUUAGUUACCCAUGAAUGCGAAGGAUAUCACGCUUUGCAUGGUGGAUGGUGUGAAUAGUAGGUGUUUGGCGUGUGGUUUUAGUGAUUCCGUAGCAAGUAACGAUUCUCUUGUUGUGGAAUUUAAGAGUAGAAGAAUGAAGAAUUGAGAAUGGGUUGUAGGAAGAUGUCUUAAUUGUAAGGAGAUGAAUGAAUUGUCAGAAUGUCUCCCCCCCCUCUUUAAAAUCUCUAACAUGAUAGGGUAUUUAUAAUACUCCUAUCCUACUCCUACUAAACUAAUAAAAUAAAUAACCAAAUCCUAAUAUACUAAUGAAAUCCUUGACCCAAUUGUACUAGGGUAAGGUUACAAAAUUAUAAUCCAAAUAGAAUGAUGAAACACAUAACCUAAUUGCACUAGGUUAAUGUAUUAUGGCAAAAAUCCAGCUUUGUGUCUGUAAGUCCCAAAGUCUUCAGAAAUGCUGUUUUAGCCCGGGACAGAUUUUCCAUGCAGCAGAUUUAGUCCUUUAUGCGUCCAGCUCCUUUCCAUCUCGUUUGUGAGCUUUCUUUUGCGUCAAGUAAGCCAUAAAUUGCUGUAUUUUGCAUCAUUUAUACCUGAAACUUUCCUAAUCACAUUUGUUAGCUCAUUUACAGGAAAAAGGACUAAAAGUGUACGAAAUAGAUAAUUAGUUCUCGAAACUAGGCUAAAAUAUGGGCAAAAUAUAUUGAUAUAGGCGCGUAAUUUCGCCUAUCAUCACUUAGUUAAAGAUUGGAAUGGAGGUGUUAGGGUGUAAAUCGUACUUAUACUGACUUGUCCAUCAUUCGGGGACGAAUGAUACAAGUGGGGGAUAACUGAAAUACCCUGGGUUCUGGUCCUUAGAAAAUUUCCUGUGUUUUGAGUCUUCUGGACAUCAUAUAACUUUGGGUACUUGUCGUAUGAUAGGGUACGGUUUAGGUUCCUCAUCUCGUAUGUUUAUCAGUGUAGUUUGGUUGGUUAUUGUCUAAGGUAUGAAUGGAUCAUACUAGUCCUAUAUUAGGGUACUAGUAGUAUGAUGUCAAUCAUAUAAUGUCCUAUCUCUAGCCUAGGUGAUUCUAUUCUGCCUAAGCUAUGGUUCUAGGGUACUUGUCGUAUGGUUAGAUAUGAGUUGGUCGUGCUGGUCGUAUGUUGGACAAUGUUGGGGUCCAAAGUGAGGACUAGGGUACGAGUGAUGGGUACCACUCAUAUGGUAUGGUACGAUUUGGGGAGGUCGUACCCUUCUGCGGGAAUUUUAUACAGUUUAAGUUGUGGUAUUCUAGAUAUUUUUCCUCUUAACCUCUUAUGACCCCAUGACUUAAAAAAUUAUUAGGACUUCGUUUACCCUAUUAUUCUAAUCUUAAACACUUAAACACUCUCUCUAAACUCUCUCAAGCUCUUGGGUUAAGCAAAGGCUAGGGUUUCCUCCAAGGUGGUCAAUUAAGGCUUUAAAGGGUGAUUUAUCUUCGUCUUCUUCGUAAUCUAAGGCAUGUUACACCUCCCUCAUUAUUUGUACCAACUAAAGUCAUGUUUUAUGAAUGGUUUUCAUGACAUAAUUGUGGUAUUAUUUUGGGGUUUGAAUUAUAUGUUGGGGGUUUUGGUUAUAAUGGUUGGUUAUGGUUUUCCCAUGUCUUUUACUUAUGGUUUUCAAGAUUACAAUGGUGGUUUGAACCUUUGGUUGCAUGGUAAUUGUUAAUUAGUACUUGGUUUUUAUUUUGAAAACUAUACCCUUAAUGUGUUUGUUAAAAUGCCUAUGAGAAUAUUUCUAUUACGUAGUUGGACUUUUAAUGAAACUAUUGGAUGGUAUAACUUGGUAAUGGAACUUAAUCUGGAUUGGAUUGUUUUAAAUUGUUAAAUGGUAAGGUCUUGCUGGUCAUGGUUUGGUUUAAUUAAAAGCCUUGUUGGGUAAAGGAAAUCCCCUAAGCAAGCAUAAUAAUGAACUACUUGUGGGGUACAUGGGAAUCCCCCAAGUAAACUUAAUAAUAACGGAAUCUUCGGGUACAUGGGAGUGCCUUAAAAGGUUGGCUAAGGACAUUUCUUGAAAGCUAUAGUCGGUAUGAUGAUACAACUUCUUAUAGCGUUGGUUAAUAAUAAAUGGAAUUGGUUUUUUGGUUGUGUGACAAUGAUUUUAAUUGGGCAAUAAUAGCGGGUUGUAAUAGCUAACUAUAAAGGUGUGAGUCCAAUGGACGGACGCUGGAAACUCAUAUUUUAUCUUUCCCAUAUUUGAGGGACAAGUCUUUCCGUGCAGCAAACACCUUUUUUACUGUACAGCUAGUUGCAUCUUUUUUUCUUGUUGUUUCGGGAUUUUGAUUCUUCUUUUGAUUGGGUAGUUCCUCAUGAAUUCUUUAGAGCUGCCACCUUUGUGACAGCCUUCAGUUUUACAAUUUAAUUUUCUAAGUUGACCACCUUUUUUUAUAGCUCUAACAAUCCAUGUUGCCAAGAGUGCAACAUUAGUGUCUUCUUCUCCUGAGUCAGAUUCUAAAGCCUUCAGAAUCAAUAAUCUCUCCAUUUUGCUUUUUUUUUUCCUCCCCUAGUUUAGUUUUAACAAUCAUGAUGACCAAAACACUCAAGCUAUGAACCUUUUAGAGUGAACCCUCUCUGAUACCAAUUAUUGAACCCUUGGAGGUUGCACCACACAGUAAGAGACCAGGUCCCUCAAAGUCAAUUACAAGUGAUAGAAUGGUAAAGAAACUAAGAGGUGCUGGAAACACAAAGGCAGUGUAGGAAGGUAAGAACACAAGAUUUUUAUGUGGAAACACAAGAAAGGGAAAACCACGGCUUGCCCUCACAGCUCCAAACAGUCCACUAUAACUAACCUCUUGACUACAGACUCGACUGUGAACCUAACUCUAGGUUUCUUUCGCUUGUAACAACUCUAUUACAAGCUUAUCUUGGUAACUCUACCAAGGACCCUCUCCACACUAAUUAACUCUAAUCAGCUUCAAGCUUAGACUCUACCUAAGCACUCUCUACUCAAAGAGAAAAAUACUACUCUUAUAGCUUGAGUAGUUCGGUUACAAAUCAAAGCUCACUCAAAAACAAUUUCUAUUUAAGCACACAAAAAUAGCUAAGAACUUGAGCAGUGGUGAAAUAGGGUUUUGCUGCCUCUCUUUUCACUCUUUAGAAUUUGCAAAAGUCAUUUGAUGAAGAGGCUUUUUUUUCCUUUUAUAGCUAAUUGAUAAUUAGGGAUGAAAUAUCAUUGGACCAGUUGUCCAUAUCAAUACAAAAUAGUUCCUGCAAGUUUAUUACACACGAGGACAAAACUAUGCAGAUACCGUGUGCCAGCUUACUGUACGUUACACAUUCAAGGACCUAAUCCCUUGCAGUUUAGCUGCUCAUCAUCAAAACUAAAUAUAGUAUUAUAUUUGUGUCAUGGGUUAUUAUUUUUUUUGUCAUUGGUUUUUAUUGUCCGUUAAGGGGUCGUUUGGUCGAAAACAAGUUAUUCUGUGAUCAAUUAUUCUAGAUAGCUAGAUUAAUUAUCUUGAAAUUAGUUAUUCAAAAAUAAGUUGUCCCACUAUGUGUAUGGGAUAAUUUAUCUCAUCAAUAUAAUAUAAAUUAUGGUAUAAAUAAUUCCAAGUCUACCUAUCCCAAAUUAUUAUAAUUAUACCUCACACCAAAUGACUCUUAAAAGAUCUAUUUAAUAACCUUAAUCAUGAUAAUAUUUGUCAAAAUCACUCUUUAUAUCUCUCUAAACAUUUGUUUGAUUGACACUAUAUUAAUUGAAAAUGUCGGAAAAUUUUUGAACAAAAAGUAGUAAGAAGGAACUCUCUACUUUUCAAAUGUUAAAUAUUUUAAUUUUAAUCUAUCAAAAUGACUAAUAUUUGUCAUCGAACACAAGGGAGUAGUGAAAAAUAUGUUCCUCUCCUUUUGUCUUGUAGCGUGGGCCCAUAUCCAAGAGGAGUAAGGAUGACUUACAAUAUAAACAACACCAGUGUAUUCCUAUGCAUUGGAUCGGAGAGGAUAGAAUCUACUAUUAUGUUAAAAAUAAGGUAAAGAAAUUAAUUUUAAUAAAUAUUUAAUUAAAAAAUCUAUAAUUUAUAAAAAAAUAUAAAAAAGGUACAAGAAACAAUGCAAAAUAAUAUUACAAUAGAGUUCAACUAAUCAAAAUAUAGGAGUAAGACUUGAUGAAUUAAUUUUCAUUUGAUUACUUUCAUAAAAGCAUUAUCUUAAAGUCACAAGUAAAUGUAACAUCUAACUAAUUAACUUCCUAGAUUUUUGAUGUCCGUUUCCAUUUUCUAAUAGGGUAACAGAUGGUUUAAUUAGCCAAGUUUCAUAAAUAAAUAUAUUAAAUUAAGAAGGAACCAAUAAAUUAGCCAUGCGAAAAAUGUAACUUAAUUGUUGAGUUAAUUUUCUCAAUAUAUGUACGUAACUUUAUGUAAUUGUCCAGGAUAUCAGAUUUUUAGGAGUAAGAGAGAUCGAUCCAAAAUUCAGAGGCAAACUAAAUUAAAGGCAUUAGGUAAGUCUGACGCUUCAUUAGUUUCUCUUUUCUUUUUUGGUUUUAAACUUAUAUAAUGCUCAUAAACUGCCAAAGUGCCGGCCAUGUAUAUUGUUUUAACACGUGGUAUCAAGUUGUUUGCUUUAUUUUUUCAGAAAACUAAUUCCGUUUCUCGUAUGCUCAUAGCGUAAAAAAUAUACUAAAACUUAUUUAAAAAGUAAUUAUUUUUCUUUAAUUUUAUCUUUACUAAUAGUUAAAUAUUAAUUUUUAAAGAAAAAUUCAUUUGGAUAAUAGUAAGAUAAAUACUUAAUUAGUAUUUUCAUUUGUCAUGAAUAAAUUUGUUAUCUUUUGAGUAAGCUGAUAAUGUGAAAGGAAAUUAUGUUGUCAUUACAUAAAAGUUAAGUUUAUCAUUCCUCUCAUUCUUUUUGGAAUAUUUUUAGUUUUUUUUUUUUAAAAUGGGAGGACAGGGAAUUACUACGUGGGAAUUGAAUUCUCACGGCAAGAUAAAUAUUAAUGUAGUCAAUCAAUUGAACUACUUAUAGCUCUGGUUUGGCCAUAAGUUUUAUAGUUAAAAUUGUCUUUUUUGAAAUUUGUCGUUAUAUUAAGACAUCCAUUUUACUUGAAAUUUGAAAAUAUUUAAGAUCAAAUAAGUAUUUGAGAAUAAAUUUUUAUCCUAUAUCCAAACAAAAACUAAAUUUCCCCCCAGAAUAUUAGUAGUUCUUUAAUUUUUUAUCGUAAUUUAUUUGGUGCUUUUGGAUGAAGGACAAAGAAGGAAAAUAUCGCUUCAUUCUAUGCAGAAAAAAGCGAUGACACUUGGAUUAUUAGCCUUAUUAACAACACUAUUUUGGGGUUUAGAGAGCAAGAUUUCACCUUUUGAUACCAUAGUUGCACUGGAUGGAAGUGGAGAUUUCAAGUCCAUAACAGAGGCGUUACAAGCAGCUCCAGAUAAUAGUGAAAGAAGAUACAACAUAAAGAUAAAAGAAGGGAUAUACAACGAAUAUGUUUUUGUUCAUAAAAAUAAGACUAAUAUAACAUUUAUUGGUGAAGGAACGGACCGUACCAUCAUAACUGGAUCUAAAAGCAAUGGCACUGGCUUCAAAACAAAUGAGACUGCUACUGUAGGUCAGUUUGACCAACCUAUUUUAUAUGCAAGAUUACGAAAGUAAUCUGUUAUAGUAUACUAUUUGUCUGAUUUUCUAUGUUCCAAAUUUUGCUAGUUACUUUGGAAACUUAUCUAUAUUUAUUUUUGAAUUUAAUCCACAUAUAUAUAUAUAUAUAUAUAUAUUAUUUGCAAGAUUACAAAAAUAAUUUGUUAUAAUAUAUUCAUUGUCUUAUUUUCUACGUUCCAAAUUUUGCUAGUUACAUCAGAAGCUUAUCUAUAUUUAUUUUUGAAUUUAGUCACCCCCCCCCUCAUCUCACCCCCACAUAUAUAUAUAUAUAUAUAUAUAUAUAUAUAUAUAUAUAUAUGGGAUCUUUUUUAUUUUAAAGUCAACGAUUACUUUAUAAACUUUUUUCUUUCUACUUUAAUUUAAAUUUAACUCGUAAAAUUCAAUAAUACAUUAAUUCAUGUAAUAUCUUGAAAUAUUUGUCGAGCUAAAUUUUAAAACUAGUAAUUUUAAGAAUUUCACAUUGCCCGUUUAUUUUACCAUAAGUUACCUAUACUACCUAUCUUAUUCCAAAAAGAAUAGUACACAUGCAUAUUAUAUAUUAUACAUUAUAUGCAUCUUUAUACUUCAUAUACAAUAGAUGUGGAUUUGCCGGCUCUUAUAUCUUUUUGUUUUUUUUUCUUUUUUAGGUAAAUAGAUACAAAAUUUUUAUUUAUAAUGUAGUUCAUAGAAGUGAAAAGUUUUUGUAGCAGACCAUAGUACAUGGCUAUGGGUUCAACAAGCGAUAUACACUUAAAAUUAAUAUUCUAUUUUUCUUCUUGUUCAUCUUCUUCUUCUUGGUUGAAAACAGAUAUAAGUGGCUAUGGAUUCAUAGCACAAGAUAUCACAUUCCAGAACACUGCUGGACCAUCGAUGCACCAAGCAGUCGCGACUAGUAUUUCAGCUGACCACGUUGUGUUCUAUCGUUGCAAGUUUGAUGGGUAUCAAGAUACACUUUACACAAAAAAUGGUGUUCAAUUUUUCAGAGAUUGUGAAGUCUAUGGUACUGUGGACUUCAUAUUUGGUAACGCAAAAGUCAUACUUCAAAAUUGCAAUAUCUAUGCUAGAAGACCUGAUGAUCUUCAAAAUGAAGUGACAAUAACUGCCCAAGGAAGAAAAAACAAACAUGAAGAUACUGCUAUUGUCCUUCAAGGUUGCACGAUAAACGUCACACAAGAUUUGCGGGAGCGUGAACCAAAGGUAAUACUAUUUGUAAAACUGUAUGAUCAUCUAGAAGUUUAAAACGGUUAAACAGAUUGAGGACACGUGAUUUCAUUUGCAAAUAUUGAAUUCAUUACCUGCCGAAGCUUAUUCAUCAGUACAACUUGCAAACACUGAAUCUCAAUAGUUGAAAUACUUGAGAAAAUUAUAUUUUCCUUCACUGAAAAAUUG
RNAcentral lists this long non-coding RNA (7189 nucleotides) under Capsicum annuum. RNAcentral's name for it is "long non-coding RNA (CANN_LNC002828)". Lineage: Eukaryota; Viridiplantae; Streptophyta; Magnoliopsida; Solanales; Solanaceae. The record is from RNAcentral.